AACAUAUGCGCCACUAGAGGGAGGGUUUGGCAUGGAUGCCACCUCAGUUCUAAGUUUCUCAGGUUUGGUAGUGAGUUUCUGAAGAUAUGUGUAUAAAUCUCUUUUAGUCUUUGACCUUUGUGAGAUAGAAAGCCACCAAGGAAUAAAAGGCAGAUGUACAUUGGAAACUUGAACCAUCCAGGGCCUUCUUAAUGUUAGCCCAUCAGGACUCAGGUUUUAUAUGAUCUCAUGAGGUCCUUCUGGGCAGACCCAUCAUCCUCCCUUACAAGUCUCUACUACUCUUCCAUAUGAUGGCUCAAGGAAUCCUGCCAGACCCUGGGAGAGCUCUUGGAGAUCCAUGGUAGUAAACAUUGCUGCCAGGUUGGCACGAAAACUCCUUUAAGCUUGCUACUUCUCCCGGGCUUCUGAAGGCCAGGGAAGAAGGAGACCUGGAUUUCCCAGAGCAUCAGUACAAAAGAAGAGAAGCAAGGUGGCAGUGAUUAGCUAUACCAGAGAAGAAGUUACUUUCUCCUCUUAGAGUUGUCCGAACAUUCCAUUUUUGGCAGUGAAAGAAAGGCAUCGAUUUCGCAGUGCCCUGGAGAGGUGUUGGUACUUCUUGAAGAGCAAAAUCAAAGAAAAAUAAAUAAAUAAAUAAAAAAAGGCUGUACCUCCAGAUCAUCUUCUGAUGGAGGGAGGAGAAGGCACCUGUGGUUAGUUAGCGUUGCUAGCAUUCUGAGAAAGCAGGGGUGAGGAAUGGAUUCGUUUGUUCCUCUGGAGUGGACAAGACCCAAAAGACCACUUGGUCGUCACUUGGUUGCUUUGAGAGAUGCUGAUGACUGUCAAGACCCACGAGCCCCAAGUCAAAGAAGGGAGGAUGGUCCAGGGUGCUAGGCAGUUUCUUCUUGGAAUAGGCAGAAGCCAGAAGCAUUUCCAGAAAGUUUUUGAAAGCAAAAUUGGAAAUUCUCAGAUUUAUUGCACAUGUAGUUCUUUACUUAAGUUUAAUUGCUAAAGUAGCCAUGAGUCUUUUAAAACAAUUUCAAAGGUCUUCUUUGGGGGUGGGGUGGGGGUGGCGAGGGGGACAAAGUAAAGUAACAGAAGUGGCCCUAACCACUGAGAACUACCGUUCUUUGGCCUGCAGUAUCACUUAGGGGAGGAGAGCACCUAAUUUGUCAGGGAAAACCUCCUGUUUUCUGGUGAACCCAGAUGAUAUGUGUUCAUAAAGAAUAGCCCCCAAGAAUGACGACGGCUUUCUCCUGAGUUCCUUCUGUCUUAGCAUUAGCUUGGGUUUUUAAACCUGGAAGAAACCAACGUAUCAGUUUAUUCUCAAACAAAAUCUUUCCUCCCCUUCGUUCAUACUUUGUGAAGGAAGUGGGAAUUCACCCCUGCAGCCAAAGUAAGUGGCCUAGAGAAUGGCCUGGCACAAAGCUAGCUGUCUGCAGGAGGGCAUGGAAGCUACCUGGCCUUUGAUUACUUCUCCCAGCUGGCAGGUUUUUGUUCAUUUAUUGUAGAUGUACUUAUAGUUUGACCUUUCUGUAAGGAUUUGUGUGGCAAGAUAUUUGAGUGCUUUUUACUGGACUGGUGAGAGGUUUGGGUUUGAGUCUCUGGCCAUAUUAUUGAAAAGUUGUGUGGCUUUGGAUAAGUUCCCGACAUUGAGUUUCAGGAUCCCAAGUGUAACAGGAGAGGGCUGAAAUAAAAGACCUUUAAUGUGGGAUCCAGGCUUGACCUUGAUUUGGAGGUUAGGCCAGGAUUAGCAAGAUGGGGAAUUUCCAGUCCUGGAAGAUGUCCUGCCCAGGCGGAUGAACUUUGUUCUUGGUAGGAGGUCUAGGGACCCCAGUGGCAGGGCUAAUCUUGCUCAGCAUUAGCACGAGAAGCACCUUCCUUCCUUCUUUCUUUGGCCUAGUUUUAUGGAACUGGUUUACGCUUAGAAGAUAACAGUAAGAAGAGUAUCCUUUUGGACGGAGUCCAUCUUCCAUCUCCAGGCACUGUGAAUCCUUUCUACUAUUCAUACUCCUCACUGAUGGAAGAAGCCAUUCCCGGUUCUAGAACUUCUGUUUUCCUCAGCCAAACCCCUGUCACAGUUUGAAUAAAUUAUGAAACCAUUGCUAAAAUCCUUGGCUUGAGUUAGGGCACUGGCAUCAAAGGAGUGAGGAGUGCCAGGGAACCUCAAGAGGAAUUUGCCACAAGUGGAUUUUCCACUUGUCCAUAGCCCCUCACCUAUGCUGGCACUGGCCUAUUAUUUUCAUAGACAGCAUCUGUAGGAUAUGAGGUGUUGGGGAAAUGACUGGCAAGGGGCAGAUUCUUUCUGGACUACUUGUGCUCCCAGAAGGGUCCUUUCUGUGGCAUAUCAUCCCACUUCCUCAGCUCUGCAGGGCAGCCAAAGCCAGCCCUGGUCAUUAGGACCAAGGAGAAAUAGCAAUCUUCUCUCUUCCCCCAGGUGGCAGGGCUGUGAUGGCCCUUCCUACACACCUGGACUCUGCCUACCCACUUCAAGACUCUCCCUCCCCCCAACCCCAUCCCCAUCUCUAAGCUAUGGGGCAAUCAUUCCCCAUUUUUCCUUUGCCAUCCUUGACCCUCAUCCACACACCCCGCCCCCCCAUCCUCCAGCAGGCUGGCCCCUCUCCCUUCCAUGUCCAAGUCUUCUUCCAGAAGAUGCAUUUGGAUCCCAGAGGAGUGUUUUCUGGAAGACAAUCUUUCAACAUCCCUACAUUCCUGACAUAAAGCAGGAAUUUGCACAUGGCGUAGAGAGCUCCCUCUCCCACCUCUCUGCCCAGUCUUGUUACCUCACUCCUGCUCCAGCCAUUGUGAUGGGCUCAGCCAGCUCCCUGUUCUGAUGUGCCCUGCAACAGCUCAGGGGUCUUGUGACUUGGAGAGGUCCUCAGCAGGCCUGGGAGCCCGGAUUGGAGCCUUGGCUGCCGAUGAGAAGCACUUACCUGCCAAGAUUUGCUGAUGCCAGACGAUCUCCCCAGCAUGUGAAUGCUUAACGGACAUUGCCAUCUCUACCCCCUUGGUCCUCCUUGCUUCUUUCCAUACAAUAAGACACCUCAGAAGCAAAAUGGCGGCCCUUGCUCCAGGCAGGACAUCAGGCUGUCUGGGGAGUUGGCCCUGGGCUUCUGUGUUGUGUGCAGAGACUGCACAGUAAAACAGUCACUUUUGCCAACAAGAAUGUGUGGCACCCCACAUCUCCCUACCUUGCACUCUAGGGCCAGACCACUCUCUGCAUGGACCAGACCAUUUUCCCAAACCCAUGGUGCUUCCCCCGACCCCACUCAACCUACAUUCUGAGGUGGGGAGGGAUGGAUCAGAGGCCAUAGUGGCCCCCUGGAUAAUCCUGACAUGGGGUGGAGUCGGGUGAGGCAGAGGGAGCAGCACCCAACACCUGCACUGGGCCACAGUGGGAAAGAACACAGUUUGGUUGCAGUUGGGUUGUCUGACCGUCUAUAUUUGGAUCUAUAACUGUACUUUGCCUGGCGCUGUGCGCAAGGUCCAAAAACUUAUUGCUAGUACCUAGACACAUACAAGGCUGUCCAGCCAAAUCUUAAUGUAAAGUAGCUAGAGCCAUGGAAGUUCAGUAUGAAUUAAAGGAAAAAAAAGUAUUGAAUUACAAAUAAUAA
This 3590-nucleotide long non-coding RNA is filed under the name Rattus norvegicus (Norway rat). Its description in RNAcentral is "long non-coding RNA NONRATT027735". The record is from RNAcentral. Lineage: Eukaryota; Metazoa; Chordata; Mammalia; Rodentia; Muridae.